Long non-coding RNA from Coffea arabica (coffee), 187 nucleotides. RefSeq lists it as uncharacterized. Lineage: Eukaryota; Viridiplantae; Streptophyta; Magnoliopsida; Gentianales; Rubiaceae. The record is from RefSeq and is a predicted model, not a curated record.
CAAGUUCCUGAUGAACAUGUGAAUGAAUUCAAGUUGAUAGGGAAGUUCAAAAUUUUCAAUCCCAACAACUUAUGGGUGAACUUGAAAGCAAUCAAAAGACUUGUACAAGAAAGUGCACUGAAGAUGGAGAUUAUUCCAAAUCCAAAGGAAGUAGAUGGGGUGAAAGUUCUUCAACUUGAAACUGCUA